UCAGAGGCCACCUGACUGCCUACCUUCCCUGGUAUUCCCCCCGGCCGCGGCAAGAGCACUGAGUGGCGGCGACGCCGGCAAGGCUCAGAAAUCACAUAAUUAAGAAGAUUGAGACAGAAAAUGAAGGGAAGGCAAAUGGACUGAGAAUUUGGAAUAAAGACAGUGCAAAUGAUGAUUAUAGUUUCGAGGACCUGGACAUAACAUUUUCAGGAAGAAACCACGGAUUCAUGAAUUCCAGAGGCAUCUUUGUCAUUUUUCAUGGACAUACAACUCUAAUGGUGCCUUAAAGACACAGGAUUGCUUUAUGCCUGUGGCCAACAGUGUUGCUAACAGGCUUUCUUUAGAUUCUGCCCAGAAGGAGAAGAGAGGAGAGAAGAACAAGACAGAGGUCAGAGACAGAAAAGUGCUACAGUUGCAGCCCAACACCAGAAAUGCAGAGGCUUUGGGGUAUCCACACAGAACUAAUUCUCUCUCACCAUAUUUGCACUGUAACACUAAAAUCAAUGGAGCUCAGCACAUCACUGUUCAGGGGCCUUCAAGCACAAAACAUAGUUCUGUUCUUACUCUUAGUGCCAUCCAAACUAUCAGACUGCAACUUCAUUUCAGAUUUCUAUUCUCAUUCAAGCCUGUGUCACAUCUCAGCAUGAAAGUAUGAAUUGGCCAAGUUUGCUAGUACCCUACAAAGUCAAUGUAGUGGUAUCUUUCAGGAAUGGAAAGCAAAAAAAAAAAAAAAUGAAAACAGGAAGGUCUUCCCUUUUUGUACCUGACAUGGGCAAUAUGUCAAUAUUGAGCACACCCAGACAUCAGAUCUCUGUACGGAAAAACAGUGGCUCUUACAAGUAACCGGAGCAUAGGUAGGUCACCUUUUCAUCCUGGUGCUGGAAUGGCAGUAUUACCAGAAUAAAAUCCUGAAA
Molecule: long non-coding RNA, 914 nt
Organism: Mus caroli (Ryukyu mouse)
Lineage: Eukaryota; Metazoa; Chordata; Mammalia; Rodentia; Muridae
Source: RefSeq, a predicted model, not a curated record